Molecule: ribosomal RNA, 393 nt
Filed under: uncultured bacterium
Lineage: Bacteria
Description: partial 16S ribosomal RNA
Rfam family: Bacterial small subunit ribosomal RNA
Source: RNAcentral
AUACGGAGGAUGCGAGCGUUAUCCGGAUUUAUUGGGUUUAAAGGGAGCGUAGGUGGGAUAUUAAGUCAGCUGUGAAAGUUUGGGGCUCAACCUUAAAAUUGCAGUUGAUACUGGUUUCCUUGAGUACGGUACAGGUGGGCGGAAUUCGUGGUGUAGCGGUGAAAUGCUUAGAUAUCACGAAGAACUCCGAUCGCGAAGGCAGCUCACCGGGCCGGAACUGACACUGAUGCUCGAAAGUGCGGGUAUCAAACAGGAUUAGAUACCCUGGUAGUCCGCACAGUAAACGAUGAAUACUCGCUGUUUGCGAUAUACAGUAAGUGGCACAGCGAAAGCGUUAAGUAAUCCACCUGGGGAGUACGCCGGCAACGGUGAAACUUAAAGGAAUUGGCGGGG